GACGAACGCUGGCGGCGUGCUUAACACAUGCAAGUCGAACGGAAAGGCCCUGCUUUUGUGGGGUGCUCGAGUGGCGAACGGGUGAGUAACACGUGAGUAAACUGCCCUUGACUUUGGGAUAACUUCAGGAAACUGGGGCUAAUACCGGAUAGGAGCUCCUGCUGCAUGGUGGGGGUUGGAAAGUUUCGGCGGUUGGGGAUGGACUCGCGGCUGAUCAGCUUGUUGGUGGGGUAGUGGCUUACCAAGGCUUUGACGGGUAGCCGGCCUGAGAGGGUGACCGGCCACAUUGGGACUGAGAUACGGCCCAGACUCCUACGGGAGGCAGCAGUGGGGAAUAUUGCACAAUGGGCGGAAGCCUGAUGCAGCAACGCCGCGUGCGGGAUGACGGCCUUCGGGUUGUAAACCGCUUUCGCCUGUGACGAAGCGUGAGUGACGGUAAUGGGUAAAGAAGCACCGGCUAACUACGUG
This 468-nucleotide ribosomal RNA is filed under the name uncultured bacterium. RNAcentral's name for it is "partial 16S ribosomal RNA". It matches the Rfam family "Bacterial small subunit ribosomal RNA", at positions 28 to 507 of the family's 1533-position model. The record is from RNAcentral.